RNAcentral lists this ribosomal RNA (305 nucleotides) under uncultured bacterium. RNAcentral's name for it is "bacterial SSU rRNA". It matches the Rfam family "Bacterial small subunit ribosomal RNA", at positions 338 to 660 of the family's 1533-position model. The record is from RNAcentral.
CCUACGGGAGGCAGCAGUGGGGGAUACUGCACAAUGGGGGAAACCCUGAUGCAGCGACGCCGCGUGGGUGAAGAAGCGCCUCGGCGCGUAAAGCCCUGUCAGCAGGGAAGAAAAUGACGGUACCUGAAGAAGAAGCCCCGGCUAACUACGUGCCAGCAGCCGCGGCAAUACGUAGGGGGCAAGCGUUAUCCGGAUUUACUGGGUGUAAAGGGGGCGCAGACGGCGAUGCAAGCCAGGAGUGAAAGCCCGGGGCCCAACCCCGGGACUGCUCUUGGAACUGCGUGGCUAGAGGGCAGGAGGGGCAG